RNAcentral lists this ribosomal RNA (586 nucleotides) under uncultured soil bacterium. Its description in RNAcentral is "bacterial SSU rRNA". It matches the Rfam family "Bacterial small subunit ribosomal RNA", at positions 196 to 774 of the family's 1533-position model. The record is from RNAcentral.
GAUCCGCAAGGACCUGGCGUUCGAAGAGGGGCCCGCGCCUGAUUAGCUAGUUGGUGGGGUAACGGCUCACCAAGGCAACGAUCAGUAUCCGGCCUGAGAGGGCGGACGGACACACUGGGACUGAGACACGGCCCAGACUCCUACGGGAGGCGGCAGUGGGGAAUUGUUCGCAAUGGGCGCAAGCCUGACGACGCAACGCCGCGUGGAGGAUGAAGACCUUCGGGUCGUAAACUCCUUUCGAUCGAGACGAAUGGCCUCCGGGUGAACAAUCCGGAGGAAUGACGGUACCGAGAGAAGAAGCCCCGGCUAACUCCGUGCCAGCAGCCGCGGUAAUACGGGGGGGGCAAGCGUUGUUCGGAAUUACUGGGCGUAAAGGGCUCGUAGGUGGCCAACUAAGUCAGACGUGAAAUCCCUCGGCUUAACCGGGGAACUGCGUCUGAUACUGGAUGGCUUGAGUUUGGGAGAGGGAUGCGGAAUUCCAGGUGUAGCGGUGAAAUGCGUAGAUAUCUGGAGGAACACCGGUGGCGAAGGCGGCAUCUCUGGACCACGACCUGACACUGAGGAGCGAAAGCCAGGGGAGCAAACG